AGUUUAUCAUACUCUUCAUUUUGUGCUUCUGUUAAGUUUGUUGAAGAUUUGUUAUCUAUGACUUUUGAAAUCUUUUGUUGAACCAAAAUGCCCUUCAUCUUUUAUUGUCAAAUUGAAAAAUCCACUUUCCCAUUAAAAAUACCAACUUUAAAAUGUGAAGAUAUUUUUAAGAAAAACAGAACAACCAAAGUACAGAUAGGUCAUACAAGGUAAUCCAAAGGCCGCAAGAUACACCGUUAUAAAAUUUCCAAGCAUCUAUAAGAUUCACGAUCUUAGAUCAAGGGAAUGUUCAAACGAGUCAAGUCAGGUGUUUUGACAUCAUAAUCAAUGCAACAUGAAGUUAUGUAAACAAAAAUUCAAAUUAUCACGCAAUGUAGUCUUAUACGGUGACUAUAUGAUAGUUAAAGCACAAAAUCUAUUACUAACUUGCAAUCAAAACUCAGCACUUCAUAUAUGGCAAAUAACUCAUAAAUUUCUAGCACAAGCAAUGUUACCACUUCACGAUAACUACAACGCUAUUGUCAUCCCACAUAAUGACAUGCUAAUACUGAAAGGUAAAUUGAGAUAAGAUAUUAUACCAGAGCGGACCAAUAUGAGUUCGUAAAUUAUGAGAGACGCGAAUUUAUCAUUUUAGAACAAUCACUAUUCGUUCUAAAGUCUCUAGCAUCUGCAGCAACCAACCAAUCACGAUCAAUACCCGAACGUGCGAAGAACAAUUCUAUCCAGAUUCUACUGCACAACUUGAAAAAGAAAACUAACGACACCAUAGUGUCAAAAAUAACGUUGGGAACAAACUGCCUCAAAACACCGUUGUUAGAAAAUGCCGUCAUGUGCCACCACAAGCCUCUGCGCGUGGGCUUUAUAGGCCGUCGAAAAGUCUCAUGGGUCGAACUUCUAGAAAUACCUCCACCUAUAUGUCACACCAGUGGUCUCUGUUUCACCAAACUAUUUCUGGAUUGGCCGAAAAACACGAAAAUAGAGGCUGAUUUUUGGCAAUUUUCUGGACAGUUUUUUGAUUUGAUUUCUGCUUCGUUUCUAUUGAUUUCCUAGAUUUUUUUGAUAAGUUUCAUAAACUAAAACCACCACCUUGAAGCUUUGACACCAAUUGUUGCGAAAACUUGCUCCAAAGAUCUUCAAAUCAGUGUUUUCCAAGCUCAGUCCAACAUUACAUUUCUCUACCAAUCAACCAAAACAAUCGGCUCCGAUCCACAAUCAAUAUAUUCACCUCGAUUGUUUUUCAAUCUCAUCCACACAGGACAAGAUAACAGUGAUGAUUUGUAGCCGCAAAGGCAAGAAGAAAACACCACAAAGGAAGCUAUGAAGAGAGUGAUGUGGGAAUUUAUUUCACACAUAUUCUUAGACCUAAUUGUUUAGAUUCAAGUGUUUUAUAUGUUUUUUUUUUUAGCUCACUUUUCUAGAAUUUUAGGUGCCUUUUAUAAUUAUUUAAUUCUUGGUGUUUUGCAGGUGUUUAAUUAUUGAAUUAGUUUGAAAUUGGGCUGCCCAGUCAAACCAGAACACUGUUUGGUAUUUGGGUUCUAAUUGGAGCUACAUAUCUCCAUUUUAGGUGUUGUUGGAAAGAUAAGGCCCAAAUCUAAAACUUUUCUGAAGAGAGAAAAACUCAGUUCUGCCGUUAAAAAGGAACAAAUCCUAUCCGAAGCAGAGAACUGGAAAUCUGUCCAGAAUUCACAACAGCCUGACCCAGAUUCUGUUUUCG
RNAcentral lists this long non-coding RNA (1714 nucleotides) under Olea europaea subsp. europaea. The record is from RNAcentral. Lineage: Eukaryota; Viridiplantae; Streptophyta; Magnoliopsida; Lamiales; Oleaceae.